RNAcentral lists this ribosomal RNA (497 nucleotides) under uncultured bacterium. RNAcentral describes it as "partial 16S ribosomal RNA". It matches the Rfam family "Bacterial small subunit ribosomal RNA", at positions 28 to 507 of the family's 1533-position model. The record is from RNAcentral.
GACGAACGCUGGCGGCGUGCCUAAUACAUGCAAGUUGAGCGCUGAAGGUUGGUACUUGUACCAACUGGAUGAGCAGCGAACGGGUGAGUAACGCGUGGGGAAUCUGCCUUUGAGCGGGGGACAACAUUUGGAAACGAAUGCUAAUACCGCAUAAAAACUUUAAACACAAGUUUUAAGUUUGAAAGAUGCAAUUGCAUCACUCAAAGAUGAUCCCGCGUUGUAUUAGCUAGUUGGUGAGGUAAAGGCUCACCAAGGCGAUGAUACAUAGCCGACCUGAGAGGGUGAUCGGCCACAUUGGGACUGGGACACGGCCCAAACUCCUACGGGAGGCAGCAGUAGGGAAACUUCGGCAAUCGACGAAAGUCUGACCGAGCAACGCCGCGUGAGGGAAGAAGGGUUUCGGGUCGUAAAACUCUGUUGGUAGAGAAGAAAGUUGGUGAGAGUGGAAAGCGCAUCAAGUGACGGUAACUACCCAGAAAGGGACGGCUAACUACGUG